CAAUAGCGUAUAUUAACUUUGUUGCAGUUAAAAAGCUCGUAGUUGAAUUUGUGGUUGUGUUGUGCGCGUUCCACAUUGUGGAUUUGUGUGCGGACAGCCUUUUGCGAAUGGAUGUCAUGUGGCAUUAGGUUGUCGCGUGAUGGAUGUUUGCCGUUUACUGUGAAAAAAUUAGAGUGUUCAAAGCAGGCUUAUGCCGUUGAAUAUAUUAGCAUGGAAUAAUGAGAUAGGACCAUGGUGCUAUUUUGUUGGUUUGCGCGCCUUGGUAAUGAUUAACAGGAACGGUUGGGGGUCUUCGUAUUCCAUUGUCAGAGGUGAAAUUCUUGGAUUUCUGGAAGACGAACUACUGCGAAAGCAUUGACCAAGGAUGUUUNCAUUA
This 376-nucleotide ribosomal RNA is filed under the name uncultured eukaryote. Its description in RNAcentral is "partial 18S ribosomal RNA". It matches the Rfam family "Eukaryotic small subunit ribosomal RNA", at positions 592 to 975 of the family's 1831-position model. The record is from RNAcentral.